CAACGCCGCGUGGAGGAAGAAGGCCUUCGGGUCGUAAACUCCUUUUCUCACUGACGAGGAAGGACGGUAGGUGAGGAAUAAGUCACGGCUAACUACGUGC
This 100-nucleotide ribosomal RNA is filed under the name uncultured bacterium. Its description in RNAcentral is "partial 16S ribosomal RNA". It matches the Rfam family "Bacterial small subunit ribosomal RNA", at positions 392 to 508 of the family's 1533-position model. The record is from RNAcentral.